Molecule: long non-coding RNA, 4240 nt
Filed under: Homo sapiens (human)
Lineage: Eukaryota; Metazoa; Chordata; Mammalia; Primates; Hominidae
Description: HSALNT0138809
Source: RNAcentral
CUGUGAGUAGGUUCUAGGGAAUUUCCUAUAUAGUAUCUCAUUUAUUUCUUAUAACAAUCCUUGCAAUUAAGUAGAAUAGCUGCCAUUUUAUAAAAACAGAAGCUAGGUUGAUGACAACGUGGAUGUGUGUUAGUCAGCAGAGAUGACUUAGAAGGAAGUGUCAGAACAGGGGAAAACCACAAGAGUGUGAUGCUCCAGAAGAGAGCUACUGUGCAAUAUGUAGUCUAAGAUGUCUCAGAAUAAUCAGAUAAAAAUAGACCAAUAGCAUUUAGCAACACAGAGAUCAUUGGUGACCAGUGAGAAGAUGUUGUCAGUGUGUGUUGGAAACAGAAGUCAGUAAGGAGUGUGCUGAGAAGUGAGGAGAAGAAUAAAACUGGAUAUGUGAUGACGCCCAAUGGAUACCUGCACUUGUGAAGUCCCUGUCUCAUCGAUCUAAGCGAAGCUAUAUGUGACUUGCUUUGGCCAGUGGCCAUUACCAGAUGAGAUGCCCGCGUACACAGGAAAAGCCCUUUUGAAUUGGGGCUUGGACAUUCUUGCUCUUGAUAACACUGCUGCCAUGUAGAAGCCUGGGUUAGCCCAUCUGAGGACACGACCAUGAAGAGCAGACAUGAGCCUUCCUAGCUGAGGCCACAAGCUGACACACCAGCUGAUUACAGCCACAUGAGUGAACUCAGGCAAGUCAACAAGUGAACUGACAAGGCGGGCUUAGCUGGAAUCAUAGGCAAAUAAAUGAUUGGUCUUUUAAAUCACCAAGUUUUACGGUGGCUUAAUUAACUGCAAUAAAUAGAUACAGCUUGCAAUCCAGGGCAAUUACGGUAUGUCUUCAAAUGCAUUUCUGUAAUUGACCUAGUUUUCCAAGACUUCAGGAUAUAGUCAUCUAUAAAUACAAUUACAAUCUCAUUCUUUGUAGCACUCCCGUAUUCCCUCCAAAGGUCUAUUCAACACAUUGUAAACUUCAUGAUUUGCUUUGCUCUUAUUUUAUUUUAACUGUUUCAGGAAACUAUGUGUGAACUUAGUAUAAUAGCUACAAGAGAGUUCAUACAGGCCUUAAAAUUACUUAAUUUAUUGAGCUGUAUAUUUUUAAUAUGUAUUCUUUUCUUCAUGUAUAUUUUUACUUUAUAUUUAAAAAAAAUGUUUACCUAGAUGGUAGCCAGAACGACAAGAAAAUUUAGAACAGCAUUUUCUAAACCAGAGGUUGGCCACCUUUUAAGAGAUAUGUGUCAUGGUUUUAGCAACCAAACUGCUUCUUGACUUUUAAUGACAGAGGGUAAAGAAUAUAUGACUAUGUUGUGACCAUCAAUUCUCCUGACAGCAGGAGCUGCCACAGAAGGUAUAAAGGAAAUUGUGUAGGAGGUACGAAAUAUUACCCCCACACUCCCCUGGCAUGCUGACUUUGGCACAUACAUCAUAGGACCUUGGUUACUGCACGGAAUCCUCAAAUAUAAGUGGAGUUGUGGGAAAUUGUGUGUUGAAAAGCACAGGCCAGCAUGGUUUUAAUUUAAUGUCUUUUUUUUAAAAGAAAAUUACAUGCUACAUAACAGUCAUGAAAAGGUUUAGUGGGGUAUGGGGUUUGUUUUGGGAACCCAGAUCCUGAUAACUUUUACUUGGAAUGCUCUUCUAGGCCUGCCCAUGUAUAGUAACAAGGUAGAGAGUUUGGAUAGUAUAUUUUCCUUUAAAGUCAAAGAAGGUCAGUGUCUACUCAUGUUCUAUCUCUGCCAUGGUGUGCAUGCCCUAGUGAUAUCUGAGUCUAUUCACAGAGUGUACUCACAAUAGCAUGUUAUUUGAUAAAUCAAUAAAUGUAAGAAUGAGUGAAUAAAUGAAAUGUAGCAGGACCAAAUUCUUUUUCUUUGAUUUUCUUUCUCUGUAAUUGUUUUCUAUUUCAUUCCAGUUUAUAGUAGAUGUGUGGUUUAAGUGAGCACUGACUUAUAAAAACAGAUCAUGUUAUUUGAGUGAAACUUUCCGCAAAAUUAUAGUAACUGGAAUUUGAAUAGUAAAAUUUGCAGAGUGCAAUGUUCAGUUGCAUAUAUUGCAACAAACAUAUGCAUUUGUGUUACUAUUGUUAUGAAUAAUAAUUGUUAUUAUUAUUAUGUUUCUACAGAUGAGGAAACAAAUUCAGAAAGUUAAAUGACUUGUCAAAUUCUCAUUGCUAGUAAGUGAAAGAAGUGAUACUCAAAUUCAGGCUUUCUGGUCCAAGAGUAUAGCUGGGUUUUUUAUGCUAUCUUUGUGUGAUGCAUGUCUCAGUGAGCUGCCCAGUUCAAUGCCUAUCUCCUCCCAGAACUAAACCCUCAUUUCCCCAGCUGCUGGGAGUGUUGAUGGCUGACAGUUCUCAGCUGAGUCAGCAAGUCCUCUUUGGGAUUUACCCUAGCCCAAAACGAGCCCAGCCCAGUCCACACUCGCACAAUUUGAAAGGAUGUCAGUACACCUCUAAUUAUUUGCUGAUGCAAGGGCAUAAGAGCCUGUCCACUCACUCCAAUUUUGGACAACUCUAAAGGACUACCCUAGCUGUAGAGCUUCCCAGGUAUGAUCAGCUGAUGCCUUGGUUGCAAAUGCAUCACAGUUCAACUUCACUCACUGCCUCAUCCAGGUGUUGAUUCCAAGAGCACCUGCCAAUGAAGUAACUGUGUACAUCUCUGUUUUAGAGUCUGCUUUCUGGGGUAUCCAACAUGUGAAUCUUCACUGCAAUGUUGUCUCCUUUAUUAAUGCAUUUUAUGCUUCUUUAGAACUGUAUUCAUUCAAUCAACACAAAUUGAGUUCUCAUGUAUCAGUCAAAAAUAAAUUGUAAGUAGCAAACCACUCUAUUUUUAGCAAAAAUGGAUUUAAUACAAAGAAUUGGGUCCUUCUACAUCUUUGGAAUGGUUGGACUCCCAUGACUGAGUGUCAUUUUUGCCUAAGCAAGAAGAUGGAGAGUGAAACAGACUUUCUUAAAUUAAUGACUGGUUAUAUUUCAGCACCUAAGCUGCAAUUCUGGGGUCAGAAAGCAACUGCUAGAACCACUGGCUCCAGAGUCUCAUCCUACCUACUAGAUAUGUACCAGUGAAUUGGAUGUCUUUUACCAUCUUUGCUGUUUUCCUCAUUUAACAUUGUUACAAAUUCAAAUAGAUACACACAUAUGAUUCAAGAACAUAAAUCACCUCUGGAAAGUUACCUGGGAGGUGUUCUGGUAAAGGUUUUCUUAGCUUUCUGGUUUCUGCAGUAUAGGAAGUUAUCCCUCAAGAAAGUUGGAAGAAAUAAACUAUGCCAGUCUACUGUAUCUACCACAUGUUACAAACCAAAGAGUCUUUGCCUUCAGCAACUUACAUUUUAGUCAAAAUAUAAGACAAAAAAUAAACAGAUAGGGCAGACAACUUGACAAUACUCUUGGAUAAAGCUAUUAGAAAAUCAACAAACUUUACAACUGAAAGAUGUUUAGGUUGGCAACAGUCAAUGCAACUUGUUUCUAGAGCUAUUCAUAUAAUAGUGCCACGGUGAGACAGUUAAUUGGAAAAUACUACUUGGUAAUGGCUAUAUAAAUCAAAAUGUGCCUUCAAAGACAGUGUGGGAGUUUAGUUACGUGCUACUACUUAUGAAAUAAUUCUAUGGGAGUUGGCAAAACUGAUUAGUUAAAUUUGGAGAAUUUAUGCUAUAGGAAUUAAGCUUGAUUGGUACUUGACUCAUGUUUCUCUAGAGUUUAAAUGUGAAAAGUUUAACUUUGAAGAGUUAUGGGCUAUAGAUUAUUCAAUACAAGAAGUUAACAUUUUGACCAAAAAACAAAAACAAAAACAAAAAAAGACAAAACAGUAGCUAGUUUUGCAGCGUGAGCCAGAGCAAAUAACACAAAACUGAGUAUAGAAUAUUGCUGCUUAAACUGUUCUUGGUGAAGGACUCCCUUGAGAAUCUAGUAAAGAAUAUAAACUCAUUAUAUUUUUGAAUGCAGAAAUAUACACACGUACAUGUAUAUGUACAUACCAAAUAUUCACAAAUAUCAGCAGGCUCACAGAUGCUUUGAACUUAUGAAAUCUCCUGAAGACCUUGGGUCUUCCUUAAGAAAUUCUAUACUAGAGUGCUGUGCUCUUUUACAUUUCUGAGGUUACUGUGAUGUUUUAGUUCUCAAAAAGUUGAAACCUGUACACAUAUAAGUAUUUUUGUACCUAUAUGUGUGUGCAUAUACACAUAUACGUAAAAUUAAAUAUAUCCUACCAAAUGUCAUACUGGUGAAGAAUUGUAGCCUCAAUUGGUUAUCUCAGAAAUUGUUGCACCCCAU